ACUUUUGCUUCGACCAUUUGUCAACUGUAUAACAUGACUUAUAUACCCAUGUCAACCAAUACCGAUAGAUAUCUAUGUUAUUAUAUAUCUAUAUUUAUUGAAAUUAAUUUUAUUUCUUUUUAGAAUAAAUGAAAUGAAUUUAAAGGAUUUAUAUGCACAUUAUUUCGUUAUGCUAAUUAUAGAACCUUGCAUAUGCAUAUAAUAAAAUGCAUGGUUCCGACCCACCGGCU
RNAcentral lists this long non-coding RNA (230 nucleotides) under Malus domestica (apple). Its description in RNAcentral is "long non-coding RNA (MDOM_LNC006656)". Lineage: Eukaryota; Viridiplantae; Streptophyta; Magnoliopsida; Rosales; Rosaceae. The record is from RNAcentral.